UACAUACUUAUAUGAAUAUAUGGCAGGCAGUGGUGGCCGAGUGGUCAUCACACUGUGCUUCAAGCCGAAUGGAGGUUCUGGGUUCAAUUCCCAGUACUGGCAGAGAGUUUUUUCCCUUGUGGUUUUCCUCUCUGACUUGUUGCACAGGUCUGUGCGGUGUCCAUUGCACUACGGGCACCAUAGUUAGGAACCUGUGACCAUCUAUUUCUCACUUAUGUGAGGUUUGGUUCACUUGUAAUUCAAAUGUAAUGGCUAAAAUUGGGAAUCAAUAAAGACGACCUUUUUUUUAUAUAUUUUAGAUGAUAUAUAAACAUACACAGGUAUACUUUUGGCCGUCAUUACUGCCCAGACAAACCCGAGUUUCUGUACUUACCUAAAUUGUAUUUAAUGCACAUCGAUAAUCUUAAUCCAAAUAUUGCCAAUUAUUGAUAUAUGUAUGUAUGCAUACGUAAGGAAUGUUAUCACUGCACGUACACUGAUUAUACUAUCAAUCGCAAACAUCCACUCCACAAACUGAGGAUGAGAUCCAUGACAGUAAUCAGUAUUUAUACUGUUAAAAAUGUGGUAAAGUCACAUAUAAAUACACUCCGUGCUGUUAUAAAUUUCAGAAUAACUUCCUCCCAGAUUGGUAAUAGUUUCUUUAGUGAUGAUAAAUUUUCAUUGACACAACGAAUACAUACAUACUUUAUUUUAUUAGUAUACAGUAGUGCUCUUUAUUACCGUGCUGGUGAAGUCAUACAUACACAUAUAAAUAUGUGCACUCCGGCAGGGGAUGAUUCACUACCACUUUGCUAAGAGUGUAGAAAAUUACAGGAAUAUGCCACAUAUAUAUAUUUCGUAACUUUUACAUUAUCUUUGCAUAUUUCAAAACUUGAGAUAUAGCAACCUCCAAUGAUAGAGAACGUCUUAUCAUCAAUUCGCCCCCCUCAACUAGGACGACGACGGACCGCCUGAAAAUUUUGCUAUGGCAGUUACCCGCCCUUCUGGUCAUGUUCAUCUCCAUGGGAAUCAUUAUCUGCGCAAUUGCCACAAUAGGAAUGACAGGAGACAUCUUUAUGAAUAUUUUGGCCUGGUUUAUCCUCAUCUUUUGGUCGGUGCGGAUCCCAAUAUCGGUCUGGAUUUGUAAUAAGACUGAAAUUAUCAUGAUCUUUGCAAGAUUUCAUUUGGCCAUCUUUGCCACCGGAUUGCUCAUGUGUGCAAUGUCUCUCGGUUUUUCAAUCAGUUUUGGAGAAAGUCCCGUCAGUCCGAGUGAUUUUACCUCAGCAGAGUUAAACCUUAUCAACGAUAUAUAUUUGUGGUUAAUUUUCGAGGGGAUCAUACUCGUCAAUAUUGCGAUAGAUGUGAUACUAUAUUAUAGAUUGAGGAAUAACACUACAAAUGUGCAAAAUUCUACUCAGAAUACUACAAUUUUAGAAACUUGUGAUCAGGAAUGUUGCAUUAAUUGUGUUGUUCGCGUUGGGUUAUGUGUUGGAUGCAUUUUUUUGCAUUCGUGUUGUAUGUGUAUUAAGUAAGACAAGAAGAUAUAGUUUAAAAGGAUGUAGAUAUUUAGACUUUGUAUAGUUUGCGAAUUUAUUAAAAUACGAAACCUCAUAAUUUUAAUAAGUCAAAUAAAUUAUAUAUGAUUUAAUUGCAUGAUGAUUUUCAACAAAGUGCAUAGGUAUGCAAACAUAUUAGAUCAGUUCGAUAAGUAAUAAAUAUGCUAUAAACUGCUCGUA
Molecule: long non-coding RNA, 1715 nt
Organism: Folsomia candida
Lineage: Eukaryota; Metazoa; Arthropoda; Collembola; Entomobryomorpha; Isotomidae
Exons: 2
Source: RefSeq, a predicted model, not a curated record